GGAAAUCAUAGAUGCGUUCCUCUUCAACCAUUUUCUGAAAUUUUGCAGCAUCAGUAGCACAGGAGGCUUGAAAAUCCAAGUAAUAAUCUAACUCUUGCCAUAAACCACAUAACUCAGAAUAAUACUGUGCAAUUGUCAUCUUACCUUGCUUAGUUCCAUGAACCUUAUUCUGCAGCUCAUAUAUCUGUGCAUCAUUACCCAUCUGUGAGUAAGUUUGAGAGGCAGCAUUCCAAAUGGUAGCUGCAUUAUCCAGCAACAAACAUCUACGAGCAAUAUGAGAUUGCAUCGAAUUGAUAAGCCAAGACAUCACAAGUGCGUUUUCUUAUUGCCAUUGGCUGUAUGUUGUAUCAGUGAUCUCUGGUUUUGUUUUAUCUCCAAUAAUAUAACCUUGCAUACCUCUAGCUUGAACAAACAGGAGAAAAGACUGCGACCGAGCAAGGUAAUUAGUCCCAUCAAGCUUAACUGAACUGAUUUGUAAAGAGGGGUUUUCAUUAUUGAAAUUACCAGUAAAAACCUUCUUCCCCUCAGCCAUUGCACAAUUGUAGAUAAUAAAAGGUUGAGGAAAAAAA
This 569-nucleotide unclassified non-coding RNA is filed under the name Hevea brasiliensis (rubber tree). The record is from RNAcentral. Lineage: Eukaryota; Viridiplantae; Streptophyta; Magnoliopsida; Malpighiales; Euphorbiaceae.